UCCCUACAUCAAUUGCACCAUCAACAACAGCAAUAGACUCAAUAGCAUCCUCAUUUUCGUUGCUCUUUUUCUUCUUUUCAAUUUCAUCACUCCCCACAUCAAUUGCACCAUCAACAACAGCAAUAGCCUCAAUAGCAUCCUCAUUUUCAUUGCUCUUCUUCUUCUUCUUUUUCUUCUUUUCAAUUUCAUCACUCCCUACAUCAAUUGCACCAUCAACAACAGCAAUAGACUCAAUAGCAUCCUCAUUUUCGUUGCUCUUUUUCUUCUUUUCAAUUUCAUCACUCCCCACAUCAAUUGCACCAUCAACAACAGCAAUAGCCUCAAUAGCAUCCUCAUUUCCAUUGCUCUUCUUCUUCUUCUUUUUCUUAUUUUCAAUUUCAUCACUCCCUACAUCAAUUGCACCAUCAACAACAGCAAUAGCCUCAAUAGCCUCCUCAUUCUCUUUGUUCUUCUUCUUCUUCUUCUUCUUUUUCUUCUUUUCAAUUUCAUCACUCCCUGCAUCAAUUGCAUUAUCAACAACAGCAACAGCAAUAUCCUCAAUAGCAUCCUCAUUUUCAUUGCUCUUCUUCUUUUUCUUUUUAUUCUUUUCAAUUUCAUUACUCCCUACAUCAAUUGCACCAUCCACAACAGCAACAGCAAUAGCCUCAAUAGCAUCCUCAUUUUCAUUGCUCUUCUUCUUUUUCUUAUUUUCAUUUUCAUCACUCCCUACAUCAAUUGCACCAUCAACAACAGCAAUAGCCUCAAUAGCAUUCUCAUUUUCAUUGCUCUUCUUCUUUUUCUUCUUUUCAAUUUCAUCACUCCCUAC
This 805-nucleotide long non-coding RNA is filed under the name Gossypium barbadense (sea-island cotton). Its description in RNAcentral is "long non-coding RNA (GBAR_LNC012065)". The record is from RNAcentral. Lineage: Eukaryota; Viridiplantae; Streptophyta; Magnoliopsida; Malvales; Malvaceae.